Long non-coding RNA from Gasterosteus aculeatus aculeatus (three-spined stickleback), 608 nucleotides. The record is from Ensembl. NCBI's taxonomy places the organism in Eukaryota, Metazoa, Chordata, Actinopteri, Perciformes, Gasterosteidae.
GGGGGGCGCGCGCGCUGACCAGGAAGGAGCCGGCGUGACGGCGAACUACGGCACAGAAAGGAACUGGAGCAGCAAACACUCUCGCCGAUAAGAACAUCGGCUAAAUCCCCCAAACAAACGCGUUAAAGGCCUUCAGACGGUCCAUGGAACACUUGGAUGGAUCUUCAACCUGGAGGAAACUGGAAUAUAUCUCAAGAUCCGAUGUGCCCCCCCUUUCAGUCAGGGAGCAGACAGCAUUAUGAAUGAAUGAGAAGACGUCAGAAGAGAUCCUUGUUUAGGGCUCCACCGAGGACGGAAGGUUGUGCCCUCGCCUGCAUCGUGCAUGUGAGUGGAACCGGUGGUUGAUUAAAACUGGAGCACACGCGUUCUCCUCUCAGAGCCGACAGGCACGACUGCAGAGCUGGGGACGGACUCAGAGGAGGGCAUUUAGUGUUAAGUCCCUUUUUAAGUGGCUGUAAUUGUUUUGUACAACGAGUGACAAGUGACAACAUCAAAAGGAGAUCAUUCGCAGUGACAUUAAAAAAAAAACUUUUGCCGGAAUGAGCUGAAUCAAAAGCUUCCACGUGGAAGGUGAAAAAUUUGGUUUUUCUCCGUAAUUCCUCCACUGU